UACGAAGGGAGCAAGCGUUAUUCGGAAUCACUGGGCGUAAAGGGCGUGUAGGCGGUUGAUUAAGUCAGUUGUUAAAUUCCUCAGCCUAACUGAGGCACAGCGAUUGAAACUGAUCAGCUAGAGUGCAGAAGAGAGAAGUGGAAUUAUCGGAGUAGCGGUAAAAUGCGUAGAUCUCGAUAGGAACACCGAUGGCGAAGGCAGCUUCUUGGUCUGUUACUGACGCUAAAAUGCGAAAGCGUGGGGAGCAAACAGG
Molecule: ribosomal RNA, 253 nt
Filed under: uncultured prokaryote
Description: partial 16S ribosomal RNA
Rfam family: Bacterial small subunit ribosomal RNA
Source: RNAcentral